UAUAAAUUAAUAUAGUUCUAAGCUUUUCUAAGCUUCUCCAUAUGUACUAUUAUGUUACACAUAUCACGAUGAGUCGGUUGUGAUAUACUUUCUGUAAUACCAACGGAAACAUAGGAAUAUAUUUCUAUAGAUUUUUAUCCUAACUCUAUUUUAUUGAUGUGUUACUUUUUUUUUGACAUUUAAUACAUACACUACAACAGAAUUAGGUUAUAGAGACACAUGUUUGGGACACUUUUGAAUAAGUGUCCCAUUUAUGCUAAAACUUAAAAAAAAAACAUCUACUAAUGCCUAAAUAUAAAGCCCAAUCCAAUCAAAAAUAAAAGAUUACUCUACUCAACCCACCACACCCAGUCCAUUUGGCCCGAUUACAAACAGAAAAGAAAAAAAAAAGAAAAAUCAGUUAUCAUCUUUUCUUCUCUCUUUACUCAAUACACUGAAAUUCUAGACGAAGAGCCUUUCCUGUCGUUCUCCUCCGCCACCGCAGCCAACGAGAUAGAGUUUCGGCGGUUGCUAAAUUGUCACGCCCCGGGGUCCCUUUUAGUUUAAAACAUAGCGGAAAAGCGUCUGAAAUUUUUUUUUUUUUUUUUUGAAAAGCCUGACCCCAGAGUAUGCCAGAUCCGCCACAAACACAGGGAAUCCACUGUUCACACGGACAGAGUCUCCCUUGUAUUUGCACGACGUCACACAAGUACAAGAAGUAACCCAGGUACAACCACAACUAAAUGAACAGACAAAUAACCAACAAUUAUAUGUUCAUACACCAUUCACAUCACAGGUUCAUAUUUAUAUAUUCGAUAUUUAAACAUAAAUUCACAUCUAUCAGUUAAAAUGUUUCCAACCACAGAAACAGGUUUUGAAAUACUAAGAUGCAAAAUCCACAGAAAAUCUUUUGAAAACUGUUUCCUACACGGAAAUCUUUAUUCUUUAAAAACGCUACCACGAGGGGUAGAAAAUCUUUUAUUUUACAAAAUCCAGAAAUCCGUUUAUUACAUUCAUGAAAGUCCACAUUUUCAAAUGUAAUAAAAAUACUGAACCAUAUAACUAUCUAAGCUAUAACAACUGAAAUAAUAAGGGUAAUAACUAUACCGAAAUAACCUGGGUCGGAAGCUCUAUCGACCG
RNAcentral lists this long non-coding RNA (1119 nucleotides) under Ananas comosus (pineapple). RNAcentral describes it as "long non-coding RNA (ACOM_LNC042908)". The record is from RNAcentral. Lineage: Eukaryota; Viridiplantae; Streptophyta; Magnoliopsida; Poales; Bromeliaceae.